RNAcentral lists this ribosomal RNA (252 nucleotides) under uncultured bacterium. RNAcentral describes it as "partial 16S ribosomal RNA". It matches the Rfam family "Bacterial small subunit ribosomal RNA", at positions 524 to 776 of the family's 1533-position model. The record is from RNAcentral.
UACGGAGGAUGCGAGCGUUAUCCGGAUUUAUUGGGUUUAAAGGGCGCGUAGGCGGACGCUUAAGUCAGCGGUAAAAUUGCGGGGCUCAACCUCGUCGGGCCGUUGAAACUGGGUGCCUUGAGUGGGCGAGAAGUACGCGGAAUGCGUGGUGUAGCGGUGAAAUGCAUAGAUAUCACGCAGAACUCCGAUUGCGAAGGCAGCGUACCGGCGCCCAACUGACGCUGAAGCACGAAGGCGUGGGUAUCGAACAGG